CCCCCGGAACCCAAAAGCUUUGGUUUCCCGGAAGCUGCCCGCCGAGUCAUCGGAGGAACGUCGGCGGAUCGCUAGCUGGCAUCGUUUAUGGUCAGAACUAGGGCGGUAUCUGAUCGCCUUCGAACCUCUGACUUUCGUUCUUGAUUAAUGAAAACAUUUUUGGCAAAUGCUUUCGCUUCUGUCCGUCUUGCGACGAUCCAAGAAUUUCACCUCUAACGUCGCAAUACGAAUGCCCCCAUCUGUCCCUAUUAAUCAUUACCUCGGGGUUCCGAAAACCAACAAAAUAGAACCGAGGUCCUGUUCCAUUAUUCCAUGCACACAAUAUUCAGGCGAAAUUUUAGCCUGCUUUGAGCACUCUAAUUUGUUCAAAGUAAACGUGCCGGCCCGCCUCGACACUCAAUUAAGAGCACCGCGACAGGAUUAUUGAGUCGGAUGCUGGAGCGCCUGCAACCCCACCACAUCAUACAGUAACAACCGAAGUUGCACACGCACAAUGGGGAAGCAUACAAGGUCCGCGCAUCCACCGGCAGGACGUUCCGCGGACGUGCCAGUUAAACACCGCGGGCGGUGAACCGACAGCGCGGAACACAAAUUCAACUACGAGCUUUUU
Molecule: ribosomal RNA, 610 nt
Filed under: Microcharidius sp. 15 aff. gonzaloi CA-2017
Lineage: Eukaryota; Metazoa; Arthropoda; Insecta; Coleoptera; Carabidae
Description: partial 18S ribosomal RNA
Source: RNAcentral